ACGAUCGCUUUCGAGUGUGUGUGGUAAAGAUCAUCACAACUCUGGAACAGCUUUCUCCAUGUUUUGUUAGUAAUCUGUAUGACGACCAUAACCCUCUCAGGCUUCUCACCCACGGACAAGGAAUGACAGUCAGCUAGCUCACAAGCGAGCUGGGACUCACAAGAAACUCUUGAGGGUGGAGUAUAGCGGGGCAAGAGUGAGGUGGUGUUGGUCUAGCCGUACUGAGGAACACACUAUGGAGCAGAUACCCAGCUCAGCAUUUCAAAUGCCCAGACUAGACGAAGCGGAAAGAAACGCCUUGAACGAAGGAAUGACAACUGGCUAAGGCUCGGGCAAGAAGUAUGGUUGUUGCAAAGUUCAAAGGUCGUCCUGUGGACUUCAGACAACAGUGGAGAGGGCUAUAUGGUUCGUAUCAGCGGUGGCAAUGACAAGCAGGGCUUCCCAUGAAGCAAGGUGUCCUCACUAAUUGCCGUGUUAAGCUCCUCCUCAAGAAGGGGCACAGUUGUUACAGACCCAAACGCACUGGAGAGAGGAAACGCAAGUAUACAUAGGGACGCUAUCAAUUGAGCAACUUGCCCCAUGUAAUAUCGAAUAUGACGUGUACAUACUUAUAUACGUUUAUACACUAAGUUUUUUGAAAUACGGACAGAAUCCACUGGGAGUGGCUUAGUGGUUAGACACAUGAUACAUGUAAAUAAGGCGUGGGUUCGAUUCCCUCUUGGGGGACUUCCUUUAUUUCGUUUCAUACAGUACUAUUGUCAAGUACACAAUCAAGUUGGGAAGUCACCAACUCGCCCUAGAUAUUAGAGGUUCUUCAUUUCCUUUAAAUUUAUCCUUUUCUCACAUCUACGCUAGCCAAUUUUGGAAGUGCCCGAAAUAUUUAUUAACUAUAGUAAUAGUAUCAAUUUUUUUUCACUUUCACAUUCAUUCACCGUGAAAGUUUAAUUUAGGCGUCAUUAAAAAUAAUAAAGUGUCAUUGUAAUGAGGUCAUUGUCACCCAGAGUGUCCCCUCAGAUCUGUGCCCGGCCCUACACUGUGUUCCGAUGGUGUCCUGGUGCUAAAAUGCGCUACAAGAGAACAGAGGUCUGCCAAUCAUGUGCCCAACUCAAGAACGUCUGUCAAACCUGUCUCCUUGGUGAGCCCUGUCACUAUAUAACCCUCUCUCUGUUGCUAUGGUGACACAAUCUCAGUACACUGCAUUCAGUACUUCCUAGAACAACUUUUUUUCAAGUCAUGAAUUUGUAUAAAAAGUCUCACAGUAGCUUAUCCUCUAUCUCUCUGUUUCCAUACAUAGUCUAAUAAAGGUCCCGUGUAGCUCUAAGGUCAGUGUGUAAGGUCACUUUACUCGCUUUUAUUUGAGCAUUAAAAGUCUGUCACUCUUAAAACUAAUAACUUGUUGUGUGUAUGGAGGCUUUAUCCGAAUAGCCGCGGUUAUGAUUUCAUAUGUAGUACCGCCCACCGCGGAACCAUUUUUACAAGUACUUCCAGUUUUCAGCCCUUAGCAAAAAAAGGUGCGUAGCUUCGAAACCGUAGCAGUUUUCUUUGGGCAACUUUGCAGCUAGCUAGUCUACAGUAGCUACUCUAUCAGGAUCUCCUGGACUCCAAUGGAAUUGUCAACCAGCUAAGGCCACAGCGAAGGAUCCUUUUAGAGGUAAGAUUUUGUGUGUAUAACGAUCGUACUUGUAGCUUGUGCAGCGUUUAUAAGCCUUCUUAGCUGAUAUACUAUGCUUAGAUACCUACUUAGAUGCCUCAGAGUGUGGAGAGUAUAGUUUAGUAGUAGCUAAAUAAGUUUACAGACCCUUUAUUAGAGUGUAGUCUAGUACACGGUUAGAUAUUCAAUUUUAUCUUUUUGUUCAGCAUUCGCCUCUGGCAAAGAAAGAUGCAUAACUUCGAAACUAUAACCGUGUUCUUUAGGUAACUUCCUAGCAAACUAGUCUACAGCAGUUACUCUGUCAGGAUCUCCUGGUUUCCAAUGGAACAGUCUACCAGCCAAUGCCACAGCGAAGGAUUAAUUCAGAGCAUUCGCCUCGUGCAAAGAAAGAUGCAACUAACUUUUAGGCAACUGCCUAGCAUUCUCUGUCGGGAUCUCCUGGUUUGGAACGGACGGCCACAGCACUUCAUAGAUGGCAACGACCUCUACGUACAUCCAUGGUGGUGAAGAGGGAAGUGAGCUAUUCCUACCGAUUUCAAGGGUGUCUUGCUUUUUUUGGAGCAGUCGCCAAUUAGCUUCUUGGCCAACUCGUGACGAAAUGAGAGGAGGGUUUUCAGUGCGUUGGUGGGUGAAUACUGUCGAUAUAAUAUGUAGCUGUUCGUAAUGCAAAUAUCCUUUAGGAAGAAGUAAAUGUACAUAUAAAACUUAUGGACUUUUGUAGGGCAUCUGUAGUACCCUCUGAGCUGAUCCCCUCUGUCGACACCCCCCAUGAAGCGAUUAUAGUCCUCGAUGCUCUGUGGGCACGGGACGGAGAUUUUUUCGCCUGUCUUGACUGUACGUUGUACAGAGAUGACCGAAGUGGCGUCAGAGGCUGUGGAGAUCACACGGACAACCCUAUUGUCGCUGAGACCGUCACCUUUUUCUUUCUGGAGAGUCAUGUAUUCCCCCCUGAAAAGGUAAAAUAAUUAUGCUUAUUACUUUCUGUCAGCUUUGGCUGCUUGAGAGCCUUGGGGAAGCCUCUGCGGUCAGCGCGAGCUGUACCACAAGUAUAAAUGCCAUCCUUCUCCAAGUCUUCUAACAGUUUGACAGACGUGAAAAAGUUGUCAAAAUAGACGUGGUGGUGCUUGUGCUUCAACGAGGCUGUGAGGUCUUUCACAACUCGUGCUCCCAGUUGCUUCUCUGGUGUGGCUUCUCUCCCUGUAUACACUUGUAGCAUGUGGAAGUACCCGUCUGCUAGGACCCAAACCUUGAUUCCUCUCUUCACAGGUUUAUUUGGGAGGUACUGUUUCAGUGCAGAUCUACCCUGAAACUUUAUCAUUGCCUCGUCUACUGCAACUUCACGGCCUAAGUUGUAUGCAGCAGAACAGCGCUCGUUGAUCUUAUUGAAGAGGGGGCGUACUUUGGCCAAACGAUCGCUACCUGGGGUGCCUGGAGUCGGGAGAGUGGUGUUGUCCGUGAAAUGGAGGUAUCGUCGGAUGUCCCUAAAGCGAUCGCGUGAGAUGUUCGAUGCAAUUGUGGUAAAGAAAUGCUGGAAUAUGUCUAAGGGAGAACUUGAGAUGGAUACAGCUGGGCCUACAGAUUGAAUGAAGGCCUCUCGAGAAUGGUCUUGAAGGGUGGGAGUCCAAGGGCAGGGGGAACUGUUUCAGCACGGACUCACAGUCACUGCAGCAGGCUCUCUGUUACCUGCACUGUCAGGGGAUUGUUCACAAUGACCUGAGACUGCGGGGUCAUGGCAUCAUUAAGAGGUCAGUACAUAGUUACAUGGGCAUGACCUCUGUAAUCUGAAAUACUGAGGUCAGAGGUCAUGAGUAUGUUUAUUGCUUUUGGGCCUAAAUUUUAUAUUUUUUUGAAGAAAGAGCAAGGAUAUAGAGAGUGUCAUACAGGGGGGAUAUCCCCCCUGCAUUCAUGCAGGUACUAGUUGGGGUCCAUAGCUGGCAAUUUUACAUACUAACAGCUAUAGGGUAUUGAAGUAACAGUUGACCUUUUUUUUUAGCUAGUUACAUUUCAACAAUCAUUUCCCACUAUAAUUAUACGUACGGUAAUCGUCUAAUUUCAUGCUAAAGAAUGUAUGUGCCUUUUGAUGGAGGAAUCAAUGAUUGAUUUUAGUAUACGUAGCUAUACCCACAUUGUACUAUUAUAUACAGCUAAAAUCCUAGUCACACAUGCACACACACCCCACACACACCCCACCCACACACACCACAUCACCCACACACACACCCACACACCCAUACCCAUACACACACACACACACACACACCCACACCACACCCACAGGCACAAGGCAGACUAGUGUCCUUGUGGUGAAGCUACACCUUCAACUGUAUGAGAUGUACACACAAGAACACAAUCUGCUUGACUUCAAGACUGUGACCUGGUCCCAUACUAACUUUAAUUUAUUAGCCUACUAGUGACCUACGUAUAUACCACAACCUUGUAAUACAUUAUUUUAUUCUUUCAUGCAUGUUUGUUCAUUGCAGUUCUUGAUAUAAUCAUGAUGAC
Halichondria panicea is the source of this 4153-nucleotide long non-coding RNA. RefSeq lists it as uncharacterized. NCBI's taxonomy places the organism in Eukaryota, Metazoa, Porifera, Demospongiae, Suberitida, Halichondriidae. The transcript is spliced from 6 exons. The record is from RefSeq and is a predicted model, not a curated record.